UCAUAACAGUAGCAAAAUUACAGUUAUGAAAUAACAAUGAAAAUAAUUUUAUGGUUGGGAGUCACCACAACAUGAGGAACAGUAUUAAAGGGUCGUGGCAUUAGGAAGGUUGAGAACCACUGGUCUAAACCAUGACAACAUCCUUCACCUAACACCACCAGUGCAGGGCCACACUGACCUGUGUGCACCUGCUGUGCCAGCUCAGAGCCUGAGGCAGCAGAAGCUCCUCCCCCUCCUCACCCCCCAUUCCCUACCCCAGGGAGCAGAGGUGGGCCAGGACCUGAGUGCAUAUGUAGCUUCAUGCCCUCAUCUCUGAGCUCCCUGUCAAUCAUUCUAGGUGCCAGAGGCAUCAUCUCUAAGGCCCCACACCUCUGAGCAUGAUGUUCCCAAAGCAAUUUGCAAAUCAGGACCGGCCCUUUAUAGGUGUUAGAAGUCAUUUGCAUUUUUAUUUUAAAGUCUAAGAGUUGAUAAGUAUAUGCUAUAAUAACUAGUUUUGCCCUCAUUUGGGGAGGGGAUGAGCAACAUAAACUCCUAUGCUCCUGAGAAAGUUAAAUUGAGUUCUUCCUCAGGUUGGUUGGUUGCAUCAGGCACAUUCUUGCUCUUCCAUCAUGUCUAUAAUCCUAGACUUUAGUAGUUUAAUAGAUCCCUAUUUAAUAUAGUAGAAAAUAUCUACAAGGGUCAGAGAAAUGAACAAGUGAUGAAAAUAAAAGGAAUGCAUUACGAAUUUACAUAUUCCUGAAGGUAGGGCAAUUGGAGUUCCAUCUUAUCCCAAAUAGUAACCACAAUUCAGUCUCAUUCAUGUGUCUGCUCAUUCAACAAACAUUUAUUGAGCCCAUAGCCAGAUGUUUGCUAAGCAUCGAUUGAAUGCAAGAUGUGUGUGACAGGAUCCUUGUCCUCCAAGGGCCUACGUUCCAGUGGGGAUGACAGUAGUCGUCAAAUGGAAUUUCAGGUGCCAUAGCCAGGUGCAGUAGGGCACAGAGGAGGGAGUGGCCAGUUCUGCCAGGGUUGGGCUGGGGAUGGUUAGAACAGGUUGCAAAGGGCUGAGGGAUGUCCCUUGGAAUGCCUCCAUGAGAGGGGAACCUUCAGGAAACACGGUUACCCUGUUGUGUGUGUGCGUGUGAAUCCUCACCCGAGGAUAUUUUUCCAUUGAUUUUUAGAGAGAGGGAAAGAGAGAAAUAUUGAUGUGAGAGAAACACAUCGAUCGAUUGGUUGCCUCCUACAUGAGCCCUGACCAGGGCCCAGGCAGGGGAGGAGCCUGCAACCGAGGUACGUGCCCUUGACCGGAAUCAAACCCGGGACCCUUCAGUCUGCAGUCCGAAGCUCUAUCCACUGAGCCAAACCGACUAGGGCUGCCCUGCUUUUUGAACAGGGAAUGUGCACAAACAAUUGGAGAUGUUGAUUAAAUUGCAGGUGAUCCAGCACCAGGAUCAGAGGCUGCAGUGACAUGUCCCAGUAACAUCUGGCCACACACCACCAGACCUCUCACAGGGUUCCAAACUAACGGCAGCAUUUCCCCCCAGACCUCAUUUUCAUGGACUCUGCUCGUAACUGCACUGACCAGAUGAACCAUCCCUCAUGCACCUCUUGCUCCACCACCAGAACCACCCAUUCGCCCGACGGACGUGGCUCAGUGGUUGAGCGUCAACCUAUGAACCAGGAGGUCACGGUUGGAUUCCUGGUCAGGGCACAUGCCCGGAUUGCAGGCUUGAUCCCCAAUAAGAGGGCAUGCAGGAGGCAGCCAAUGGAGGAUUCUCUCACAUCAUUGACUUUUCUAUCUUUCUCUCCCCCUCUCCCUUCCUCUCUGAAAUCAAUAGAAAUAUAUAUGUGUAUAUAUAUGAAAAAAAGAACUAGCCCUUCAUCACACUCAAUCCAUUGGCUCUGAUGAGACUGACUGGGAUGAGCACAUGACUCAGGUUUGGCCAAUGGGAAACGCCCUUCUCCUGGUCUGACUUGUUUAAGAUGAAGACAUGCCCCAAUCUGGUCCAUUGACUGCUGCUGGACUUUCCAGAAAGCGGUGCCCUCUGUCCACUGAGGCUGCCAAGCUGGCAAGACAUAAGCCCAGAACCUCUAGGGGCCAUUACGGAGAAUGAAGCCACCAGCAUAGAAGAAAGCAGAGCCAAGAGAUGGCAUGAGACAGGCUCCUAAUGACACAGGAUGAGCACCUGGAUCCAGCUGUGCCUGAAGCUCCAGAGGCCACGCUCUUCCACACACCAUCUCACAGCCCUGUCCACCUUCUAGACGUACACAAGGGGACGGGACACCAUGUAAAGAAUGGGCAUCGCAGCACUGCUUAUGACUAAAAAAACUGGAAACGCCUAAAGAGUCUGGCAACCUGACCAAUAACUGCAUUGCCACUUGUUCAUACAAUGGACCGCAAAACACAAGUAAAAAUGAGUAAGUCGGAACCACGCUGGUAUCAGUGCAGAGGAAUCUCUCCACUGAAAUGCUGAGUGAAAAGACACAAGUUGCUGAAGGGAAUAGUAAGAAAACUUGCAUGCAAAAUGGAGAAACCACGCAGAAUAAUAUUAUCUAUUGUAGUGAAAGUAUCAAUAAACGAGUAGGAGACCGAAUAUCUAAAUUCAGGUUGUUUGAUUUCUCUGGGGGCUACUUGCGCAUUUGUGCUAUUAUUCUUAAUACUUUUUUUUCUCCUCUCAACAUUUAUUCAAACAGAAAAAUUGAAAGACUUGUCCUGUGAGCACUCAUAUCUCUGUUACUUAGCACAAUGGACAGAUUGCUGUAUUUACUUACCACAUACAUAUCCAUUUCCCCACAUCCUGGGUACCUUUUGGUAUGUUAGAACCAUUUUGUAAUUAAAAACUUUUUUAAAAAGGGGGAAGAAACAACGUAGGGGAAAACUCACACUUUUAUUAUUUAAAAUAGCGUAGGUCAGAAAACAAAUGGGCCCUAACCGGUUUGGCUCAGUGGAUAGAGCGUCAGCCUGCGGACUCAAGGGUCCCAGGUUCGAUUCCAGUCAAGGGCAUGUACCUUGGUUGCGGGCACAUCCCCAGUAGGGGGUGUGCAGGAGGCAGCUGAUCGAUGUUUCUAACUCUCUAUCCCUCUCC
Myotis daubentonii (Daubenton's bat) is the source of this 3062-nucleotide long non-coding RNA. RefSeq lists it as uncharacterized. Lineage: Eukaryota; Metazoa; Chordata; Mammalia; Chiroptera; Vespertilionidae. The record is from RefSeq and is a predicted model, not a curated record.